This 228-nucleotide ribosomal RNA is filed under the name uncultured Actinomycetales bacterium. RNAcentral describes it as "partial 16S ribosomal RNA". It matches the Rfam family "Bacterial small subunit ribosomal RNA", at positions 105 to 334 of the family's 1533-position model. The record is from RNAcentral. Lineage: Bacteria; Bacillati; Actinomycetota; Actinomycetes; Actinomycetales.
GGUGAGUAACACGUUAGUAACCUGCCCUUGACUUUGGGAUAACUUCAGGAAACUGGGGCUAAUACCGGAUAGGAGCUCCUGCUGCAUGGUGGGGGUUGGAAAGUUUCGGCGGUUGGGGAUGGACUCGCGGCUUAUCAGCUUGUUGGUGGGGUAGUGGCUUACCAAGGCUUUGACGGGUAGCCGGCCUGAGAGGGUGACCGGCCACAUUGGGACUGAGAUACGGCCCAG